This 2864-nucleotide ribosomal RNA is filed under the name human gut metagenome. RNAcentral's name for it is "bacterial LSU rRNA". It matches the Rfam family "Bacterial large subunit ribosomal RNA". The record is from RNAcentral.
GCAAGGGCAGACGGUGGAUGCCUUGGCUCUCGGAGGCGACGAAGGACGUGAUAAGCUGCGAAAAGCCCGGGGGAGGCGCAAAUAGCCCUUGAUCCCGGGAUAUCCGAAUGGGGCAACCCGGCAGGCUGAAGGCCUGCCAUCCCGUAAGGGAGGCGAACGUGGGGAACUGAAACAUCUAAGUACCCAUAGGAGGAGAAAAUAAACAAUGAUUCCGUAAGUAGUGGCGAGCGAACACGGAAGAGCCCAAACCCAUGUCGUCUAGGCGACACGGGGGUUGUAGGACCACGACGUGGCAAGAUAGAGUCAAGUGGAACGCCUUGGAAAAGGCGGUCAUAGAGGGUGAAAACCCCGUACACGACUGACGAUUGAAGCCUAGUGGCAUCCUGAGUAGCGCGGGGCACGAGAAAUCUUGCGUGAAACAGCGGGGCCCAUCCCGUAAGGCUAAAUACUCCCGAGAGACCGAUAGCGAACCAGUACCGUGAGGGAAAGGUGAAAAGAACCCCGAGCAGGGGAGUGAAAUAGACCCUGAACCCGUCUGCCUACAAGCGGUCGGAGCAUAGCAAUAUGUGACGGCGUGCCUUUUGCAUAAUGAACCUACGAGUUACCUUCCCCGGCAAGGUUAAGUACCUAAGGUACGGAGCCGAAGCGAAAGCGAGUCUGAAGAGGGCGGCCAGUCGGGGGGGGUAGACGCGAAACCGAGUGAUCUACCCUUGGCCAGGUUGAAGGUUGGGUAACACCAACUGGAGGACCGGAUGGGUAAGCGUUGAAAAGCUUUCCAAUGAGCUGAGGGUAGGGGUGAAAGGCUAAUCAAACUCGGAGAUAGCUCGUACUCCCCGAAAUGCAUUUAGGUGCAGCCUCUUUAUAGUAUAUCGUGAGGUAGAGCGACUGAUUGGAUGCGAGGGCUUCACCGCCUAUCAAGUCCAGAUAAACUCCGAAUGCGCGAUAUAUAUUUACAGGGAGUGAGGGCGCGGGUGCUAAGGUCCGUGUCCGAGAGGAGAAGAAUCCAGACCACCGGCUAAGGCCCCCAAAUGAUCGUUGAGUUGAACUAACGAGGUCGGAUCGCAGAGACAGCUAGGAUGUUGGCUUGGAAGCAGCCAUUCAUUUAAAGAGUGCGUAACAGCUCACUAGUCGAGCGAUCUGGCGUGGAUAAUAAUCGGGCAUAAACGAUCUGCCGAAGCCGUGGAUGUCGUAAGACAUGGUAGGGGAGCAUUCCAUGCGGCGUCGAAGAUGAGGGAUGACCCUUGUUGGAGCGCAUGGAAAAGCAAAUGUAGGUAUGAGUAACGAUAAGGGGGGCGAGAAACCCCCCCGCCGAAAGACCAAGGUUUCCUGAUCAACGCUAAUCGGAUCAGGGUGAGUCGGGACCUAAGGCAAAGCCGAACGGCGCCGCCGAUGGAAGAAUGGGUUAAUAUUCCCAUACUGCCUCAUGGAGUGACGUGGAGACGGAGAAGUGACAGUCCUGCCGGCUGACGGAAUAGCCGGUUGAAGGGUGUAGAUAUUGAUUCCCGUAGGCAAAUCCGCGGGGAGAGUCGAACCUGACAGUAUACCGAGUACUUGUACGAGGUAAUAUGGACGUAACCAUGCUCCCAAGAAAAUCCGCUAAACUUAUCCAUGCGGCACCCGUACCGUAAACGGACACACGUGGUCGGGUUGAGAAUACUGAGGCGCUCGAGUGACUCACGGUUAAGGAACUAGGCAAAUUGACCCUGUAACUUCGGGAUAAAGGGUCCUCGUCGUAAGGCGAGGCGCAGAGAAUAGGUCCAGGCAACUGUUUAACAAAAACACAUGGCUGUGCUAAAUGGAAACAUGACGUAUACAGCCUGACACCUGCCCGGUGCUGGAAGGUUAAGAGGAGAUGUCAUCGCAAGAGAAGCAUUGAAUUGAAGCCCCAGUAAACGGCGGCCGUAACUAUAACGGUCCUAAGGUAGCGAAAUUCCUUGUCGGGUAAGUUCCGACCUGCACGAAUGGUGUAAUGAUCUGGACACUGUCUCAACCGUGAGCUCAGUGAAAUUGUAGUAUCGGUGAAGAUGCCGAUUACCCGCGAUGGGACGAAAAGACCCCGUGAACCUUUACUAUAGCUUUACAUUGAAUUUGGGCAGACGAUGUGUAGGAUAGGCCGGAGGCUUUGAAGGGGGUACGCCAGUAUCCUUGGAGCCGCCGUUGAAAUACGGCCCUUCGGUUGUUUGAGUUCUAACUCCUAGGCAGGAGGACACUGUAUGGUGGGUAGUUUGACUGGGGUGGUCGCCUCCAAAAGCGUAACGGAGGCUUCUAAAGGUACCCUCAGACCGAUUGGUAACCGGUCGGAGAGUGUAAUGGCACAAGGGUGCUUGACUGAGAGACCCACAAGUCGAUCAGGUAGGAAACUAGAGCAUAGUGAUCCGGUGGUUCCGCAUGGAAGGGCCAUCGCUCAAAGGAUAAAAGGUACUCCGGGGAUAACAGGCUGAUCCCUCCCAAGAGCUCAUAUCGACGGAGUGGUUUGGCACCUCGAUGUCGGCUCGUCACAUCCUGGGGCUGGAGAAGGUCCCAAGGGUUGGGCUGUUCGCCCAUUAAAGUGGCACGCGAGCUGGGUUCAGAACGUCGUGAGACAGUUCGGUCUCUAUCUAUCGUGGGCGCAGGAGAUUUGAGGGGCUCUGACACUAGUACGAGAGGACCGUGUUGGACGUACCACUGGUUUACCGGUUGUCCCGCCAGGGGCACCGCCGGGUAUCUAAGUACGGAUCGGAUAAGUGCUGAAAGCAUCUAAGUACGAAGCCGGCCUCAAGAUUAGAUCUCCCUGAAGGGUGGUUAUAGACGAUGACCUUGAUAGGCCACAGGUGUAAGGGCGGCGACGUCCGAGCCGAGUGGUACUAAUAGCCCGGGACUUUCCU